This 775-nucleotide ribosomal RNA is filed under the name uncultured Neocallimastigales. RNAcentral describes it as "partial large subunit ribosomal RNA". It matches the Rfam family "Eukaryotic large subunit ribosomal RNA", at positions 22 to 616 of the family's 3401-position model. The record is from RNAcentral. Lineage: Eukaryota; Fungi; Neocallimastigomycota; Neocallimastigomycetes; Neocallimastigales.
GUACACGCUGUGACUAGUAUAUCAAUAAGCGGAGGAAAAGAAACUAACAAGGAUUCCCUUAGUAACGGCGAGUGAAGCGGGAAGAGCUCAAAUUUGAAAUCUUCAAGGUUUUAUCUUGACGAAUUGUAGUUUAAAGAAGUGUUUUCUGCUGAAGUUUUGGUAAAAGUUCUUUGGAAUAGGACAUCAUAGAGGGUGAGAAUCCCGUAUUUGACCGUUAUUUCUAGCUUUGUGAUACACUUUCAAAGAGUCGGAUUGUUUGGGAAUGCAGUCCAAAAUGGGUGGUAAAUUUCAUCUAAAGCUAAAUAUUGGCGAGAGACCGAUAGCGAACAAGUACCGUGAGGGAAAGAUGAAAAGAACUUUGAAAAGAGAGUUAAACAGUACGUGAAAUUGUCAAAAGGGAAGCGUUUGACACCAGUGUUGUUUUUCUGAAAAUCAAUUAAAGAACUGUUUAUGCUAAGUUGUUUAGACUUUAUCAGCUAACUGUUUAGUUUUGAGCUUUUCUUUAAUGCACUUUUCAGUUAACAAGUCAACAUCAAUUUCUUUUGCUGUAAAAAAGCUUGAGGAAGGUGGCUUGAGAUUCGUCUUAAGUGUUUAUAGCCUCUUGCCUAUGCAGUCGGAGAGAUUGAGGUCUGCAGCGUAGAUCCUUCGGGGCUAAAUGCAUUUGUGCUAAGUUAUAGCAUUUUAUAGACAACUUGUUGACUAUGAUUAGUCUUGUAGCUUACUCGCUUGCUGCUAUUUUACCUACGCUUAGGAUGUUGAGCGCAUGUCUCUCUCU